This 849-nucleotide long non-coding RNA is filed under the name Marmota monax (woodchuck). Lineage: Eukaryota; Metazoa; Chordata; Mammalia; Rodentia; Sciuridae. The record is from RNAcentral.
GACCUGCCCCUCGUCCCAGCCCCGGCACCUCUGCACUUCACGGCCAGGGCGACACCCGCAGCACCAGCCUGCACCCCGCUCCGCCCACCUGUUUCCUGGGGGGACUUCGGUGCUCCUCCUUGUUUAUGGAUAUCCUUUCUUCCCAAAGUCCGUAUCUUUUCCGGGGAGUGGGAGGAAGAAGUCAAGAGUUUGAUCCCCCCCCCCCCCGGUCCACAGCAUAUCAGGUGGACACGGCCAGCAGCCCUGGCCGUGCAUACCCCGGAGGUGGGCAGCUCAGGGCCCUAGGUCAGGGUUGAAGGCCAGGAGAGGGGUCACGAGACCAUAUCAGGGCUGCCAUAGCAAAGUCCCACCAGUGGGGUGGCUGCAGGUGGGUCUUCUCUCAGGGUUCUGGAGGCCAGAAGUCCAAGGUCAGGUGUGGGCAGCCCGCGCUCCCUCUGAAGCCUCAGGUAGAAGCCGUCCUUACCUCUUCCAGAUCCUGAACCGCCAGCCAUCCUCAGCUCAUGGCUGUGGCACUUUGGUCUCUGCCACCAUUGUCACAUGAUGUUCCCUCUCCCAUCUCUGUGUCUUCUCCUCUUCUUAUAGGGACACCAAUCAUACUGAAGCAGGGGAGCCCUCCUCCGACAGGGCCUUAUCUUAACUAAUCACGUCUGCAAUCCUAUUUCCAAAUCAGGUCACAUUCCAGUGACCUCCCGCGCCUGCCUCGGCACACUGCUGAUGCUGUUCCUCCUUCCAGAAAUGCCCUUCCCCUCUCUUGCUGCAUGUCUGCAAAGCACAUUCACAGUAACUGCUUAGAUGCCGUCUUCUCCCUGGAUCUCCUCGUAUGGCCCCAAUUCAGAGAAAGAGCUCCAC